Molecule: ribosomal RNA, 253 nt
Filed under: uncultured bacterium
Lineage: Bacteria
Description: partial 16S ribosomal RNA
Rfam family: Bacterial small subunit ribosomal RNA
Source: RNAcentral
UACGUAGGGUGCGAGCGUUAAUCGGAAUUACUGGGCGUAAAGCGUGCGCAGGCGGUUAUGUAAGACAGGUGUGAAAUCCCCGGGCUUAACCUGGGAACUGCAUUUGUGACUGCAUAGCUAGAGUACGGUAGAGGGGGAUGGAAUUCCGCGUGUAGCAGUGAAAUGCGUAGAUAUUGGGAGGAACACCAGUGGCGAAGGCGGCUCACUGGACCGGAACUGACGCUGAGGCGCGAAAGCGUGGGGAGCGAACAGG